Molecule: ribosomal RNA, 454 nt
Filed under: uncultured bacterium
Lineage: Bacteria
Description: partial 16S ribosomal RNA
Rfam family: Bacterial small subunit ribosomal RNA
Source: RNAcentral
GAUGAACGCUGACAGAAUGCUUAACACAUGCAAGUCAACUUGAACUUCGGUUUGUUUGGCGGACGGGUGAGUAACGCGUACAGAACUUGCCUCACAGCUAGGGACAACAUUUGGAAACGAAUGCUAAUACCUGAUAUUAUGAUUAUAUGGCAUCGUUUAAUUAUCAAAGCUAUAUUCGCUGUGAGAGAGCUUUGCGUCCCAUUAGCUAGUUGGAGAGGUAACAGCUCACCAAGGCGAUGAUGGGUAGCCGGCCUGGGAGGGUGACCUGCCACAAGGGGAUGGAGACACGGCCCGUACUCAAACGGGGGGCAGGGGUGGGGAGUUUAGGAAAAGGGACCGAGAGUGUGAUCCAGCAAUUCUGUGUGCAAGAUGAAGUUUUUCGGAAUGUAAAGUGCUUUCAGUUGGGAAGAAAAAAAUGACGGUACCAACAGAAGAAGCGACGGCUAAAUACGUG